RNAcentral lists this ribosomal RNA (253 nucleotides) under uncultured bacterium. Its description in RNAcentral is "partial 16S ribosomal RNA". It matches the Rfam family "Bacterial small subunit ribosomal RNA", at positions 524 to 776 of the family's 1533-position model. The record is from RNAcentral.
GCCGUAGGAUGCAAGCGUUGUCCGGAUUUAUUGGGCGUAAAGAGUUCGUAGGUGGUUCGUUAAGUCUGAUGUUAAAGACUGGGGCUCAACCCUGGAAGUGCAUUGGAUACUGGCGGACUUGAGUGUGGUAGAGGCAAUCGGAAUUCCAGGUGUAGCGGUGAAAUGCGUAGAUAUCUGGAAGAACACCGGUGGCGCAAGCGGAUUGCUGGGCCAUAACUGACACUGAGGAACGAAAGCUAGGGGAGCGAAUGGG